GUGGGCAUUGUCUAAUAGGUAAGAUGCCAACUUUCCAAGUUGGAGAUGGAGGUUCAAGUCCUCUUGCCCGCU
Molecule: transfer RNA, 72 nt
Filed under: Candidatus Staskawiczbacteria bacterium RIFCSPHIGHO2_01_FULL_37_17
Lineage: Bacteria; Candidatus Staskawicziibacteriota
Also listed under: 12 other names
Description: tRNA-Gly
Rfam family: tRNA
About the family: Transfer RNA (tRNA) molecules are approximately 80 nucleotides in length. Their secondary structure includes four short double-helical elements and three loops (D, anti-codon, and T loops). Further hydrogen bonds mediate the characteristic L-shaped molecular structure. tRNAs have two regions of fundamental functional importance: the anti-codon, which is responsible for specific mRNA codon recognition, and the 3' end, to which the tRNAs corresponding amino acid is attached (by aminoacyl-tRNA synthetases). tRNAs cope with the degeneracy of the genetic code in two manners: having more than one tRNA (with a specific anti-codon) for a particular amino acid; and 'wobble' base-pairing, i.e. permitting non-standard base-pairing at the 3rd anti-codon position.
Source: RNAcentral